UACGUAGGGCGCAAGCGUUAUCCGGAAUUAUUGGGCGUAAAGAGCUCGUAGGCGGUUCGUCGCGUCGGCUGUGAAAUCCCGAGGCUCAACCUCGGGUCUGCAGUCGAUACGGGCGGGCUGGAGUUCGGCAGGGGAGACUGGAAUUCCUGGUGUAGCGGUGAAAUGCGCAGAUAUCAGGAGGAACACCGGUGGCGAAGGCGGGUCUCUGGGCCGAUACUGACGCUGAGGAGCGAAAGCGUGGGGAGCGAACAGG
RNAcentral lists this ribosomal RNA (253 nucleotides) under uncultured bacterium. RNAcentral describes it as "partial 16S ribosomal RNA". It matches the Rfam family "Bacterial small subunit ribosomal RNA", at positions 524 to 776 of the family's 1533-position model. The record is from RNAcentral.